Long non-coding RNA from Sinocyclocheilus rhinocerous, 797 nucleotides. RefSeq lists it as uncharacterized. The record is from RefSeq and is a predicted model, not a curated record. The transcript is spliced from 2 exons. NCBI's taxonomy places the organism in Eukaryota, Metazoa, Chordata, Actinopteri, Cypriniformes, Cyprinidae.
AGGAGCAGCUGGAGCACGCUGAGGUCAGCACCGCUCUGAGGUAUCUGGGUCAGUACUACUUCAAGAACAAACUGUACGACGAGGCGUCUCUCUGCGCUCAGCGCUGCUGCGAUUAUAACGAUGCGCGAGAGGAAGGCAAGGCUCUGUUGAGACAGAUCUCUGCGGUGCGAGAGCAAGGAGAGCCGUCAUCGACAGACCUGUCUUUACCCUGCGUCUUCAACCCGCUGUCUAGCAACACCACACCCGUCAGGAGAGUGUCUCCACUCGACCUGUCCUCCGUCACACCCUGACACAGUUCUCCUGUUCACACACAGAUGCGGAGAAAAACAUGUUCAUGUAUGCACACUGUAAAUAACUCUGUAUAGACAACGGUGCCCGUCCUAUCAAAUAAACUGAUGAAACUUUGACAGUUGAGUGUUUUAUUACAUACGCACUCAUUUUAGUUUCGACUAUACAGUGGAAAGACAUUCAAAAGUGACAAACAUCUCUAACCACACUAACCUUCCCAAACUCGUGCAUAAGAGGAGCCAGAGCAAGAAUGUAGUGUUAAAACCUGCAUUUGGAAACUUAAAGGAAAAAAGACUUGCAUGUGCAUUCGGUGACAAUAACACUGAAUUCCUAAAGCAUCACACGCUCAAACCUUUAAACAGAAAGCAGCAACCCAUGACAAAUUUUAAAAUGAAGUAGCAUGUUCAGCUUUAUGUAUAACAUACACUUGGAAGACAAAUGGAAUUUGGAAUCAAUACUUUUAUAUUGCUUUUACAUUUUGAUUUGGUUUGCGUAAUAUACCAAAAAAA